Molecule: long non-coding RNA, 438 nt
Filed under: Gallus gallus (chicken)
Lineage: Eukaryota; Metazoa; Chordata; Aves; Galliformes; Phasianidae
Description: long non-coding RNA NONGGAT003322
Source: RNAcentral
AUGGAAGUCUCUGCAGAAACCUCUGGUCCUUACUGAUUUUUCAGGCUACGGCGUGCUCAUACAGCAGGUUUCUGUCUUCAGAGAGAGAAGAAUGUUAGAAAUCCUCAGCAGUGAGCAUUCUUCCCCUGGGUCGGAUGUGCCCUAGUUCCCCAGGUGACUGCAGGGCAGUGCCACGGUACCAGAAAUGACAUUUAUGGGGCAGAGGGAGAGAGAAAAUGAAGCGGUGUAUCUUAGCUGGUGAUGAAUGAGGAAAAAUCUCUCUAAACUGAGUGAGAAGAGAGCAUUUCCCAGAGCUGAUCUGACAUUGUGCCUGAAGGGCGAUGAGGAUGAAGUAUUUCCCUCUGACAGAAGAGCCUCUAUUACUGAAGUGGAUCGGUGACCUUAACAACUGCCUUUCAAACUUUGGAAAGAGGGCAGCCCGUGUUUGUGGAGCCGUGC